UACGUAGGGGGCUAGCGUUGUCCGGAUUUAUUGGGCGUAAAGAGCGUGUAGGCGGCCAGGUAGGUCUGGUGUGAAAACUCGAGGCUUAACCUCGAGAUGUCAUCGGAAACCAUUUGGCUAGAGUCCGGAAGAGGAGAGUGGAAUUCCUGGUGUAGCGGUAAAAUGCGCAGAUAUCAGGAAGAACACCAAUGGCGAAAGCAGCUCUCUGGGACGGUACUGACGCUGAGACGCGAAAGCGUGGGGAGCGAACAGG
RNAcentral lists this ribosomal RNA (253 nucleotides) under uncultured bacterium. Its description in RNAcentral is "partial 16S ribosomal RNA". It matches the Rfam family "Bacterial small subunit ribosomal RNA", at positions 524 to 776 of the family's 1533-position model. The record is from RNAcentral.